GGCUGGUCCGAAGGUAGUGAGUUAUCUCAAUUGAUUGUUCACAGUCAGUUACAGAUUGAACUCCUUGUUCUACUCUUUCCCCCCUUCUCACUACUGCACUUGACUGGUCUUUU
RNAcentral lists this Y RNA (113 nucleotides) under Neogale vison (American mink). RNAcentral's name for it is "Neovison vison (American mink) Y RNA (ENSNVIG00000003920.1)". It matches the Rfam family "Y RNA". Rfam says of the family: Y RNAs are components of the Ro ribonucleoprotein particle (Ro RNP), in association with Ro60 and La proteins. The Y RNAs and Ro60 and La proteins are well conserved, but the function of the Ro RNP is not known. The record is from Rfam by way of RNAcentral. Lineage: Eukaryota; Metazoa; Chordata; Mammalia; Carnivora; Mustelidae.